Molecule: ribosomal RNA, 253 nt
Filed under: uncultured bacterium
Lineage: Bacteria
Description: partial 16S ribosomal RNA
Rfam family: Bacterial small subunit ribosomal RNA
Source: RNAcentral
UACGAAGGGGGCGAGCGUUGUUCGGAAUUACUGGGCGUAAAGGGCGCGUAGGCGGCCGAUCAAGUCAGAUGUGAAAGUCCUGGGCUUAACCUGGGGACUGCAUUUGAUACUGAUUGGCUUGAAUGCAGGAGAGGAUAGCGGAAUUCCCAGUGUAGAGGUGAAAUGCGUAGAUAUCGGGAGGAACACCAGUGGCGAAGGCGGCUUCCUGGCCUGCAACUGACGCUGAGACGCGAAAGCGUGGGGAGCGAACCGG